Molecule: long non-coding RNA, 2455 nt
Organism: Oncorhynchus keta (chum salmon)
Lineage: Eukaryota; Metazoa; Chordata; Actinopteri; Salmoniformes; Salmonidae
Exons: 3
Source: RefSeq, a predicted model, not a curated record
AGCCUGAGGUCUUCCCUAUAGCUCCCCUACCACGCCUGAAGUCUGAGGCCCUCCCUAUAGCUCCCCUACCACGCCUGAAGUCUGAGGCCCUCCCUAUAGCUCUCCUACCAAGCCUGAGGUCUGAGGUCCACCCUAUAGCUCCCCUACCAAGCCUGAGGUCCUCCCUAUAGCUCCUCUACCAAGCCUGAGGUCUGAGGUCCUCCCUAUAGCUCCCCUACCAAGCCUGAGGUCCUCCCUAUAGCUCCCCUACCAAGCCUGAGGUCUGAGGUCCACCCUAUAGCUCCCCUACCAAGCCUGAGGUCCUCCCUAUAACUCCCCUACCAAGCCUGAGGUCUGAGGUCCUCCCUAUAGCUCUCCUACCAAGCCUGAGGUCUGAGGUCCUCCCUAUAGCUCCCCUAUCAAGCCUGAGGUCUGAGGUCCUCCCUAUAGCUCCUCUACCAAACCUGAGGUCUGAGGUCCUCCCUAUAGCUCCUCUACCAAGCCUGAGGUCUGAGGUCCACCCUAUAGCUCCCCUACCAAGCCUGAGGUCCUCCCUAUAGCUCCUCUACCAAGCCUGAGGUCUUCCCUGUAGCUCUCCUACCAAGCCUGAGGUCUGAGGACCUCCCUAUAGCUCACCUACCAAGCCUGAGGUCUGAGGUCCUCCCUAUAGCUCCCCUACCAAGCCUGAGGUCCUCCCUAUAGCUCCUCUACCAAGCCUGAGGUCUGAGGUCCACCCUAUAGCUCCCCUACCAAGCCUGAGGUCCUCCCUAUAGCUCCUCUACCAAGCCUGAGGUCCUCCCUAUAGCUCCUCUACCAAGCCUGAGGUCUGAGGUCCUCCCUAUAGCUCCCCUACCAAGCCUGAGGUCUGAGGUCCUCCCUAUAGCUCCUCUACCAAGCCUGAGGUCUGAGGUCCACCCUAUAGCUCCCCUACCAAGCCUGAGGUCCUCCCUAUAGCUCCUCUACCAAGCCUGAGGUCUGAGGUCCUCCCUAUAGCUCCCCUACCAAGACUGAGGUCCUCCCUAUAGCUCCCCUACCAAGCCUGAGGUCUGAGGUCCACCCUAUACCUCCCCUACCAAGCCUGAGGUCCUCCCUAUAGCUCCCCUACCAAGCCUGAGGUCUGAGGUCCUCCCUAUAGCUCUCCUACCAAGCCUGAGGUCUGAGGUCCUCCCUAUAGCUCCCCUAUCAAGCCUGAGGUCUGAGGUCCUCCCUAUAGCUCCUCUACCAAACCUGAGGUCUGAGGUCCUCCCUAUAGCUCCUCUACCAAGCCUGAGGUCUGAGGUCCACCCUAUAGCUCCCCUACCAAGCCUGAGGUCCUCCCUAUAGCUCCUCUACCAAGCCUGAGGUCUUCCCUGUAGCUCUCCUACCAAGCCUGAGGUCUGAGGACCUCCCUAUAGCUCACCUACCAAGCCUGAGGUCUGAGGUCCUCCCUAUAGCUCCCCUACCAAGCCUGAGGUCCUCCCUAUAGCUCCUCUACCAAGCCUGAGGUCUUCCCUGUAGCUCCCCUACCAACCCUGAGGUCUGAGGUCCUCCCUAUAGCUCCUCUACCAAGCCUGAGGUCUUCCCUGUAGCUCCCCUACCAAGCCUGAGGUCUGAGGUCCUCCCUAUAGCUCCUCUACGAAGCCUGAGGUCCUCCCUAUAGCUCCUCUACCAAGCCUGAGGUCUGAGGUCCUCCCUAUAACUCCCCUACCAAGCCUGAGGUCUGAGGUCCUCCCUACAGCUCCCCUACCAAGCCUGAGGUCCGCCCUAUAGCUCCUCUACCAAGCCUGAGGUCUGAGGUCCACCCUAUAGCUCCCCUACCAAGCCUGAGGUCUGAGGUCCUCCCUAUAGCUCCCCUACCAAGCCUGAGGUCUGAGGUCCUCCCUAUAGCUCCUCUACCAAGCCUGAGGUCCUCCCUAUAGCUCCUCUACCAAGCCUGAGGUCUGAGGUCCUCCCUAUAGCUCCCCUACCAAGCCUGAGGUCUGAGGUCCUCCCUAUAGCUCCUCUACCAAGCCUGAGGUCUGAGGUCCACCCUAUAGCUCCCCUACCAAGCCUGAGGUCCUCCCUAUAGCUCCUCUACCAAGCCUGAGGUCUGAGGUCCUCCCUAUAGCUCCCCUACCAAGCCUGAGGUCCUCCCUAUAGCUCCCCUACCAAGCCUGAGGUCUGAGGUCCACCCUAUAGCUCCCCUACCAAGCCUGAGGUCCUCCCUAUAGCUCCUCUACCAAGCCUGAGGUCCUCCCUAUAGCUCCUCUAUCAAGCCUGAGGUCUGAGGUCCUCCCUAUAGCUCCCCUACCAAGCCUGAGGUCUGAGGUCCUCCCUAUAGCUCCUCUACCAAGCCUGAGGUCCUCCCUAUAGCUCCUCUACCAAGCCUGAGGUCUGAGGUCCUCCCUAUAGCUCCCCUACCAAGCCUGAGGUCUGAGGUCCUCCCUAUAGCUCCUCUACCAAGCCUGAGGUCUGAGGUCCACCCUAUAGCUCCCCUACCAAGCCUGAGUUCCUCCCU